RNAcentral lists this ribosomal RNA (464 nucleotides) under Vreelandella stevensii. Its description in RNAcentral is "partial 16S ribosomal RNA". It matches the Rfam family "Bacterial small subunit ribosomal RNA", at positions 338 to 795 of the family's 1533-position model. Lineage: Bacteria; Pseudomonadati; Pseudomonadota; Gammaproteobacteria; Oceanospirillales; Halomonadaceae. The record is from RNAcentral.
CCUACGGGAGGAGCAGUGGGGAAUAUUGGACAAUGGGGGGAACCCUGAUCCAGCCAUGCCGCGUGUGUGAAGAAGGCCCUCGGGUUGUAAAGCACUUUCAGUGAGGAAGAACGCCUGGUGGUUAAUACCCAUCAGGAAAGACAUCACUCACAGAAGAAGCACCGGCUAACUCCGUGCCAGCAGCCGCGGUAAUACGGAGGGUGCGAGCGUUAAUCGGAAUUACUGGGCGUAAAGCGCGCGUAGGUGGCUUGAUAAGCCGGUUGUGAAAGCCCCGGGCUCAACCUGGGAACGGCAUCCGGAACUGUCAAGCUAGAGUGCAGGAGAGGAAGGUAGAAUUCCCGGUGUAGCGGUGAAAUGCGUAGAGAUCGGGAGGAAUACCAGUGGCGAAGGCGGCCUUCUGGACUGACACUGACACUGAGGUGCGAAAGCGUGGGUAGCAAACAGGAUUAGAUACCCUUGUAGUC